UUGUUGCAUAGUAAGUCAACUGUGUCAGAUCGAUUAACUCGGUUCAAUAGAAUUGUAAUAGGUUGAUGUUCGGUCAAAUGGCAGCUUGAAAACAACUACACUUGUCGGCCAUGGGUCGUUAGGCACAUGGAGCUUGCACAGGGAUGAGCUGGUCGUUGUGGACUUGGAUCGUGAUUGUUUGUUGAACACUUUAUGAUAUUACAUACUUAUUUACAUUGG
This 219-nucleotide long non-coding RNA is filed under the name Helianthus annuus (common sunflower). RNAcentral describes it as "sRNA HanXRQr2_Chr15g0686291". The record is from RNAcentral. Lineage: Eukaryota; Viridiplantae; Streptophyta; Magnoliopsida; Asterales; Asteraceae.